Molecule: ribosomal RNA, 480 nt
Filed under: uncultured bacterium
Lineage: Bacteria
Description: bacterial SSU rRNA
Rfam family: Bacterial small subunit ribosomal RNA
Source: RNAcentral
UGACAGUACUCCUACGGGGAGGCAGCAGUGGGGGAAUAUUGCACAAUGGGCGCAAGCCUGAUGCAGCCAUGCCGCGUGUGUGAAGAAGGACCUUCGGGUUGUAAAGCACUUUCAGUCGUGAGGAAGGUAGUGUAGUUAAUAGCUGCAUUAUUUGACGUUAGCGACAGAAGAAGCACCGGCUAACUCCGUGCCAGCAGCCGCGGUAAUACGGAGGGUGCGAGCGUUAAUCGGAAUUACUGGGCGUAAAGCGCAUGCAGGUGGUUUGUUUAAGUCAGAUGUGAAAGACCCGGGGCUCAACCUCGGAAUAGCAUUUGAAACUGGCAGACUAGAGUACUGUAGAGGGGGGUAGGAAUUUCAGGUGUAGCGGUGAAAUGCGUAGAGAUCUGAAGGAAUACCGGUGGCGAAGGCGGCCCCCUCGGACAGAUACUGACACUCAGAUGCGAAAGCGUGGGGAGCAAACAGGAUUAGAUACCCUGGUAG